RNAcentral lists this ribosomal RNA (547 nucleotides) under uncultured bacterium. Its description in RNAcentral is "bacterial SSU rRNA". It matches the Rfam family "Bacterial small subunit ribosomal RNA", at positions 774 to 1319 of the family's 1533-position model. The record is from RNAcentral.
ACGCAAUAGAUACCCUGGUAGUCCUGGCCCUAAACGAUGGAUACUUGGUGUCUGGAGUUAUUAUCGCUCCGGGUGCCGUCGCUAACGUUUUUAGUAUCCCGCCUGGGGAGUACGCUCGCAAGAGAGAAACUCAAAGGAAUUGACGGGGACCCGCACAAGCGGUGGAGCAUGUGGUUUAAUUCGACGCAACGCGAAGAACCUUACCUAGGCUAGAAUGUGAGGGAAUUUCGGGUAAUGCCGAAAGUCCGGGAAACCGGACCCAAAACAAGGUGCUGCAUGGCUGUCGUCAGCUCGUGUCGUGAGAUGUUGGGUUAAGUCCCGCAACGAGCGCAACCCUUAACUUCAGUUGCCAUCAUUAAGUUGGGAACUCUGGAGUGACUGCCGUUGAUAAAACGGAGGAAGGUGGGGAUGAUGUCAAGUCAUCAUGGCCUUUAUGCUUAGGGCUACACACGUGCUACAAUGGUCGGUACAAAACGUCGCAAUCUCGUAAGAGGAGCUAAUCGCUAAAACCGAUCUCAGUUCGGAUUGAAGUCUGCAACUCGACUUC